RNAcentral lists this unclassified non-coding RNA (400 nucleotides) under soil metagenome. RNAcentral describes it as "partial contains 5.8S ribosomal RNA, internal transcribed spacer 2, and large subunit ribosomal RNA". The stretch from base 1 to 122 matches the Rfam family "5.8S ribosomal RNA", at positions 35 to 154 of the family's 154-position model. The record is from RNAcentral.
GAUGAAGAACGUAGCGAAAUGCGAUACUUGGUGUGAAUUGCAGAAUCCCGUGAACCAUCGAGUCUUUGAACGCAAGUUGUGCCUCAAGCCAUUAGGUUGAGGGCACGUCUGCCUGGGCGUCACAUAUCGUUGCCUGAUGCCAGUUUCCUCGUGAUGGGUGACUGUGCAGGGCGAAUGAUGGCUUCCCGUGAGCAUUGUUGCCUCAUGGUUGGUUGAAAAUUGAGUCCUUGGUAGGGAGCGCCGUGAUAGAUGGUGGUUGAGUGACGAACGAGACCCAAUCAUGUGAGACCCCUACCGAAUUUGGCCUUCAUGACCCACAUGCGUCUUUGGAACGCUCAUGACGAGACCUCAGGUCAGGCGGGGCUACCCGCUGAGUUUAAGCAUAUCAAUAAGCGGAGGA